Molecule: long non-coding RNA, 224 nt
Organism: Parus major (Great Tit)
Lineage: Eukaryota; Metazoa; Chordata; Aves; Passeriformes; Paridae
Exons: 3
Source: RefSeq, a predicted model, not a curated record
AGGGACACCCUUGCUGUACUUCUGCGUUUAUCUCAUUUUCUGAACCUCUGAAGAUUUUUCUCUUCCAUACAGUACUGAAAUACACAGGCUCAAACCCAGAUGACAACACAGGGAAAGAGGACAAAGUCACCAGAAGAGGAGCUGGACAAGAAGAGGCUCUGACUUGGUUUUCUGCUUGAGCUACCGCAAAGUUUCCACGCACCUGCUUUCCUGCACACCUACAC